UACGUAGGUGGCGAGCGUUGUUCGGAAUCACUGGGCAUAAAGAGUUCGUAGGCGGUUUGGUAAGUCAGGUGUGAAAUCCCCCGGCUCAACCGGGGAACUGCAUUUGAUACUGCCAGACUUGAGGGUAGCAGGGGAGAGCGGAAUUCUGGGUGUAGCGGUGAAAUGCGUUGAUAUCCAGGAGAACACCGGAGGCGAAGGCGGCUCUCUGGGCUAACCCUAACGCUAAGGAACGAAAGCCAGGGGAG
Molecule: ribosomal RNA, 245 nt
Filed under: uncultured bacterium
Lineage: Bacteria
Description: partial 16S ribosomal RNA
Rfam family: Bacterial small subunit ribosomal RNA
Source: RNAcentral